AUUGAACGCUGGCGGCAGGCCUAACACAUGCAAGUCGAGCGGAUGAGGGGAGCUUGCUCCCUGAUUUAGCGGCGGACGGGUGAGUAAUGCCUAGGAAUCUGCCUGGUAGUGGGGGAUAACGUUCCGAAAGGAACGCUAAUACCGCAUACGUCCUACGGGAGAAAGCCGGGGACCUUCGGGCCUUGCGCUAUCAGAUGAGCCUAGGUCGGAUUAACUAGUUGGUGAGGUAAUGGCUCACCAAGGCGACGAUCCGUAACUGGUCUGAGAGGAUGAUCAGUCACACUGGAACUGUGACACGGUCGAGAUUCCUAAGGGAGGCAGCAGUGGGGAAUAUUGGACAAUGGGCGAAGGCCUGAGCCAGCCAUGCCGCGUGUGUGAAGAAGGUCUUCGGAUUGUAAAGCGCGUUAAGUUGGGAGGAAGGGCUGCUGCUUAAUACCCCGCAGAUUUGACGUUACCAGCAGAAUAAGCACCGGCUAACUUCGUG
RNAcentral lists this ribosomal RNA (484 nucleotides) under uncultured bacterium. Its description in RNAcentral is "partial 16S ribosomal RNA". It matches the Rfam family "Bacterial small subunit ribosomal RNA", at positions 30 to 507 of the family's 1533-position model. The record is from RNAcentral.